RNAcentral lists this transfer RNA (72 nucleotides) under Marmota monax (woodchuck). It matches the Rfam family "tRNA". From Rfam's summary of the family: Transfer RNA (tRNA) molecules are approximately 80 nucleotides in length. Their secondary structure includes four short double-helical elements and three loops (D, anti-codon, and T loops). Lineage: Eukaryota; Metazoa; Chordata; Mammalia; Rodentia; Sciuridae. The record is from Rfam by way of RNAcentral.
UGAGGUGUAGCUCAGUGGUAGAGCACUUGCCUAGCAUGUAUGAGGCCCUGGGUUGGAUCCUCAGCACCACAG